CUGAAACGAUGGUUCCCUUAUGAUCACCGAAGUUAAGCAACAUUAAGCAUGGUCAGUAGCAAGAUGGGUGAGUGCUUGGGAAUUCCAGGUGCUGUAAG
Molecule: non-coding RNA, 98 nt
Organism: Acanthosepion pharaonis
Lineage: Eukaryota; Metazoa; Mollusca; Cephalopoda; Sepiida; Sepiidae
Source: the annotation of a GenBank genome assembly